Long non-coding RNA from Helianthus annuus (common sunflower), 1886 nucleotides. RefSeq lists it as uncharacterized. The record is from RefSeq and is a predicted model, not a curated record. NCBI's taxonomy places the organism in Eukaryota, Viridiplantae, Streptophyta, Magnoliopsida, Asterales, Asteraceae. The transcript is spliced from 8 exons.
UGCCUUUUCUCAUCCAACAUUACCACUCCCCUAAAAAAACCUAAAAUCUUCUCCUUCACUUCACUUCUCCUCCUGUACUCCUCUUCUCUUCUCCAAUACUACUAGGCGUCUCUGCUUUCAGGUUCUCUCUCAAAACCCUAGAUCAACGAGUGCAAGUCCGUGUUCUUCACUCUCAUAUUCAUCAAUCAAGAACAUAGAAUUCAAAACCUUCUCAUUCAUGCCUUCAUUCUUCAAUCAUCUGCUCCAUUCAACCUUCAGUGAUAUGGAUUUUGAGAAUGAGAACCAGAGAGAGAAAAAGAGGAUUUGGGAGAAAGUACUCGGUUUUCUUGUGCAGCUGAUGAAAACUAUGGUGGUUCUUGUGCAGCUGAUUCUAGAAUAGUACUCGGUUUUCAAGAUUUUGUUUUUGGGGUUUUCCUAAUACUAUUCUCUGUUUUGCACAGAUCAAGGUAUUGCUUAGCUGAUGAUCGGUUUCUAGACGCUGUUAAGUUUUUGGAUUCGGGUGAUGGUGCUGGCUGGGAAUUAUUGCAUGUUCUAUUUCAUUUUAUGGAUUUGGAUGAUGUUGAAUCCUGACUUCAGGAACAGGCUAAUUGCUGAAGCUGUAUUGAAACACAGUGGCUUGCAUCUCUCAACGAUGGGAAAUACAGCUCAGCAGACUAUGCCAAAGCUUCAAGUGAGAAACUUUCAAAAAACCGUGCCCCUGGAGAGCAAAAAUCCUGGAAUCCCUUUGAAGAAGAAUCGAAUAUGAAAAGAAAAAGAUUUUUUAUUAUUAAACUUCUUCAAGGUGUUUUAUCUGGUUUGGCAUACAUGCAUGACAAUGAAAGAUUCAGAGCCUUGGCCCAUCUUAAGUCGUUCUCAACAGCUGUAUAUACAACACCCAGCCAGUUUUACGGCCGAAAAAACAGAAUCUAAAAACUCAUUUUUGGCUUUCCCGCUAACCCUCUUCGGGGGAACCACUGCAAUUAAAACAAAAUAAUUAGUAACAACAUUUAUAAUAUAUAAAAUAUAAGGACUACAAUAUAAUUUAGUAAAAGACUUACCGUCAGUCUCGUGCGUGCCACGAAAAUGACCACCAGGAGGCGAUGGAUCACCAGCGCCGUCACCCCCAUGUCCCCAUGGGGCCACAUCCGCCAUCAGAUAUGCGAAUAUAAGCAAUACCGAAAACAUAAUCCCUAUAAAGUUACAAAUGUUACAACAUGUGUAUCUAAUAGAAAUUAAGGGAAAGUACAACAAGUGUAACUCAAAUUCCCAUACAUACUUACAAACACAUAUUUUGAUUAAAACCACAAAAUUUAUACAUACAUAUUUGCAUAUUUUAUACAAACAUACAUACUAACAUACACAUUUUUCACCAAUUGCAAACAUUUACAUGCACAAUUAUUCAUCAUUUACAUACACCUACAUACAUACAUUCAAUCAUAGACUUACAUACCCGCAUACAUGCUUACAUACACCUACAUACACAAAUACAUACACCUACAUACACAAAUACAUACACCUACACCUACAUAUACUCAUUUUCACCAAUUACACCUACAUUAUACAUUUUCACUAACAUUUACAUACAAAUAUACAUCCUUACAUAUACAUUUACAUAACUAAACAAAAAAUUAUACAAUUUCUAAAUUUUGAAAAAAUUCAUAUAAAACUAACCGUAAUUUCAAGCUUUCAAGUAGAUGUCGACCACGGAGACGAGGUGGUGACCGGAGAAGUGAUGGUGGUGACCGGAGAGGUGAUGGUGGUGAUCCAAAUUUUCUUCCAUAAACAUAAAUAUACCCAAAAACGAGCAAAAAUUAAAGUCUAUAACAUGUAAAUAACAAAAUAGAGAAGAGAUUUAACAAAAAAAUAAGUUAAACUAACCGAUUUGGUGAAAAUAUGUGGUUCUCCGG